This is a non-coding RNA of Plutella xylostella (diamondback moth), 3361 nucleotides long. The record is from RefSeq and is a predicted model, not a curated record. Lineage: Eukaryota; Metazoa; Arthropoda; Insecta; Lepidoptera; Plutellidae.
CCAUGCUGAUAUAACUUACAACCAAAAACAUCCAGUUAUAUUACCAAGAGAAUCUCACAUUACUACACUGCUUAUUAGAAGUGAGCAUGAAAGACUACUGCACGCAGGCCCUAAGCUAUUAUUAUCUAGUUUAAAUCAAAGAUUUUGGAUUUGUAAUGGAUUAUCAGAAGUUAAAAAAAUAACUCACAAAUGUAUUACAUGUUUCAGACAAAAGGCUACGGUAGCCAAACAACUCAUGGGUUCAUUACCGGCUAGUAGAGUAACCUCUACCAAUAGAGCUUUCGUGCGAGUAGGUGUAGACUUCGCUGGACCUAUCGAUGUUAAAUUGUCACGCGUAAGACGUUCAGUAAUUGGAAAAGGUUACAUCUGCGUUUUUGUAUGUUUUACAACAAAAGCUAUUCACCUCGAGCUAGCUUCAGAUUUAACCACCGACACGUUUCUCGCUUGCCUGCGAAGACAAAUUUCGAGGAGAGGUCUUAUGACUGAAAUACAUUGUGACAAUGCUAGCACAUUCAAAGGUGCCAAUAAUCAAUUAAACGAACUCUAUAAGUUGCAAAACUCACAAAAUCACCGUCAGCAAGUUUAUAAUUUCGCUUCUCAACAGGGUAUUCAAUUCCAUUACAUACCAUGUUAUUCAGCGACGUACGGAGGUUUAUGGGAAUCGUCCGUGAAAAGUACAAAGUACCACCUGAAAAGGGUGAUAGGUAAAAAUGUGUUAACCUACGAACAGUUAAGUACUGUGCUGUGUGAAAUCGAAGCAGUCCUCAACUCUAGACCGUUGCUACCCUUGACCGCUGACCCAACUGACUACUCUUACCUUACACCAGGUCAUUUUUUAAUUGGUAACGUCUUAAUGAUGUACCCUGAAAGCGAUAUCACUAAUAUCCCACAAAAUAGAUUAAAGUUUUGGCAAAUUUGUACUCAAAUCAAACAAUCAUUUUGGAAAGUCUGGCACAAAAACUAUUUAAAUGUAUUACAAAAUAGACCUAAGUAGAAAUUUGAUGUAUGUAAUGUUAAACUAGGUAGUCUAGUUAUUUUAAAAGAGGACAACACACCUCCAAUGAUGUGGCCCAUGGCCAGGAUUGUAAAACUCUUCCCCGGGCAUGACAGCAAGGUUAGAGCUGUAGAAGUGAGAACUCCUAAUAAUAAGUCUCACAUUAGGGCUAUAAAUAAAAUUUGCAUAUUACCUAUUGAGGAUAAUAUUUAGUAAGUAAUUAAUUUUAAGUACCUACUUGUUAAUGUAGUUAUAAUUCAACCUAGCUUUGAUGUUAUUGUUAAACUUGUUUGUUAACACCAUUGUUAUUAUUGUGUUUUAUUAGAUAACUACAUGUGUAAUUUCCCUUUGUUGUUAAUACAGUAUAACAUCAGUUGUUAAUAUACUUAAUGUUGUGUUUUGAAUGUUAUUUCCAAAUACGUAUAGGUAUAUUAUUAAAAAACCAUUAUUGUAAAAGUAAAUUGAUACCUAAAGGUGUUAAGUACAUAGGCACAUAGUUAUAUUUCAUACAUUUAUUAAGAAAAAUGUUAUUUGUUUUCUCAUCUUGUGAGGCCGCAGCAUGUUGGCUAGCAACAUUAAUUAUCUAUGAUUAUUAUCUAUGUUUUCUAUAUUUCAUAUCAUUGUCUAUGUUCAACUUCCUCUUCCGUUUCUGCUCUUCACACGAAAAUACACGGAUCAAUCACAAUUCCCGUUUAUUAUUACUCCCACGAGCUUCAAGCACCCCCAGGGCCUACAAACCAACCACAUACAGUCCACUCCGCUCCAACCGUCAAUUAGAAAAAAGUUAUGUAAUACAACAUGAGCUAUUAUAAUUAAAUUUUAUUUAUUCUUAUCUGUUUAAUUAAAUCUGAUAUAAUAAUAUGCAAAACUUCGUAUAUUUUUUGUCCAAAUUAUCUUAACUUGUUAUUAUACAUAAAGAAAGAGAGUGAAACGAAACGGUCUUAUUUUAGGAGCGAACCGCGAAGGCGCGAAGUCUUGAGUCUUGGUACUUGUGGUUGGGAAAGCAAGAAAACUUUGUUGUGGUUUUAUAAAUUAUAUUCACGUACACCGUAUCUAUUAUGGAUGCUCAUAAGAAAAAAGGGCGGAAAACUGGAGUCCCGAAGAAAAAGUAAGUGUUACCUAGUAAUUCUUGUGUUCCCAUUAUUUUUGUCAUUAUAGAAUCAAACAAGUGUACCUACUUCUACAACUCUACUUGCAUUACGUACCUUAUUUGAUUACUUAUUUCUUUCUUGAAUUGUAGGAGGUAUUGAGAGAUAUAAUUGCUCAAGCGGCACAUAUCAUUGAAAAUAAAUCGACUAAUACAUCCAUAAAUAUGGCGAAAACCAAAGAGUGGAAAAAUAUAACUAGAAAAUUAAAUGAACUAACGGGAAAGGGAAGGGGAAAAUCGGAAAUAAAAUUAGCCUGGAAGAGGAUGAAGCUGGCGGCCAAGGCCAACGUGUCUGCACACAAGCGGGCACAAACAGCAACGGGAGGAGGUGAGAAGCCACCUUCACCUUCCGCAGAGGACCUGGAGGUGAUGGCCAUCGCUCCUCAAGAUUUUAUAAUCACUUAUAAUGAUUAUGACAGUGAUGCCAUGGUUCUACCUGUGCCAGUGCAACCUUCACCAGUGCCAGUACCAAUACCUGGUACUAGUUCAGAAGUUCCUCAAAUAUGAAUUGUACGAGUAGAGGAGCGAGGUAAAAUAUGUUACUCCUAGUCGCUAUUCAUGAUGAUAAUUAUGUACCAUUAAUAUGAUUAAUCUAUAUCUAAAUACUCUUAUUAUUUUCAGAAGAACCUAACUAUGUGGCACCUGAGGAAAGCAGGGCCAAGAAAAUUAAUUUAAAAAAAAAAAAUAUCAGUGUCCAACAAGACAUUUUAGACAGUAAUGCCCAAUGAAAAAAAGACAAAUGGAGAUGAUGGAAGAGGAGCACCUACUAAAAAAAACUUUGCUAGAAUUAAAAAAGUUCAAUUGGAGUUGCGUUUAAGGUGUGUCCAAACAUAAAGCGGCAUUCGAGCGCGGCUGCCGCGCGCGGCUUGCCGCGCUAUGAUUGGACGAUUGCCGCGCGCGGCAGCCGCGAGCUACCUGCCGCGCGCGACGAUCGCCGCGAACGGUGUUAGUGUUGGUUCGCCAGUGGUUGUGUGUGGACGGACGUAUUUUAUCAAAUAAAAUGGAUAAUGAAACAGCAAUUCGUCUUAUUGAAAUUUAUGGCUCCCAUAGUCCAUUAUGGGACACUAGACGUAAAGAAUAUCACAAUAAUAAUGUGAGAGAAGAUCUAUGGGAUGAAAUAGCAAAAACAUUCGUACAACCAAAAGCAGCUUUAAAAUUGAAAAUGAAAAGUCUUUUGAGUUCUUAUAGAAGGGAGAGAAACAGAGAAAAAACAAGUAAUG